UACGGAGGGGGCCAGCGUUGUUCGGAAUUAUUGGGCGUAAAGGGCGCGUAGGCGGCCGAAUAAGUCUGAUGUGAAAUCCCACGGCUCAACCGUGGAACUGCAUCUGAAACUGUUCGGCUCCGAGUCCGGGAGAGGGUAGUGGAAUUCCCAGUGUAGCGGUGAAAUGCGUAGAUAUUGGGGAGGAACACCGGUGGCGAAGGCGGCUACCUGG
RNAcentral lists this ribosomal RNA (211 nucleotides) under uncultured bacterium. RNAcentral describes it as "partial 16S ribosomal RNA". It matches the Rfam family "Bacterial small subunit ribosomal RNA", at positions 524 to 732 of the family's 1533-position model. The record is from RNAcentral.